RNAcentral lists this long non-coding RNA (2657 nucleotides) under Ananas comosus (pineapple). RNAcentral describes it as "long non-coding RNA (ACOM_LNC016972)". Lineage: Eukaryota; Viridiplantae; Streptophyta; Magnoliopsida; Poales; Bromeliaceae. The record is from RNAcentral.
GGUUAAUAGCAAAUUACAGCGUGUUUGGUUCGAGUUACAUAAUAGAAAUAAUUGCCUAUAUAUCCUUCAAAACUUCGAAAAUAUCUCAUUUACCUCUGUUUUUUUUUUCUUUCUAAUAUACCCCUCAUAUGUUCCUCCGUUAUUUCAAAAUGCCCCUACAGUUAAUUAUCAUCCGUUAAGUUAAUUUGGGUUAAACGUGAGUUAAAUAUCUAUCACAGUUUAAAAAAAUUAAAAUGUCACUUUUGACCUUAACUUUCGGGCAAAUAAAAAAUAUUAGUGAUGGUAGAAGAUUAUAUUUGAAAAGACCAAAAAGCAAAAUACUUUUUCUGCUCCUAACUUAAGGGCAAAUAAGAAAAGUGGGUGCUGAUAGAAGGGUAUAUUUGAAAGGGCAAAAUAGUAAUUUUAUAGAGAUAAUAGAGUUCAUUAACAGAUUUUAACUCUAGAGACAUAUUUGAAAUAAGUUGAAACGUAAAAAGGUAUUUUCAAUAUUAGCCUUCUAAGAGAGGGUAAAUCAGAAAGUCGGGAACUUUUCAGAGAUAUAUAAACAAUUGUCCCUAUGUAAUAUUAUAGAGUAUUUCGAUAUAUCCAGAUAUCCUGAAUUUCUAAAUGAGAUUACUACUGAUGCUAUAUUAGUGCGUUUGGUUUAAUGCAAUAAUGUAAUACUGGAUUGCAGUGUUUAUAGCAUUACUAAAGGUGUUCGUGGAUCGGAUCGAUUCUGGGUAGUUGAUAUACUGUACCUGCACCCAAAAACAAAAUGGUUAGAAAAAAAAAAAUAUACGCUACCCAUUUAACUUCGAGUCGAGUUUGGGUCUGGAUACUUAAGUUACUAAUAUACCUAUCGGAUCUAUUUGAACGGAUCUGGAUAGUGACUAUCCGUAUACUACCCAUUCGAGAUCGGGUAUGGGUCAGAUCUAAAUCGAGUGCGAAUACCCGUAUACAUUGAUUUUUUUUUUUAUAGACUUUAUUAAAUUGUCUAAGCAAAACUUGUAUCGGUCAUUAUAUUGACUGAUUAAAAAAUCUAAAAUUCAAAACAAUUUCAUAUGUAAACACACAAAAAUAGGAAAAUUAUGAUACCAUAUUAUAAAUAAAGAUAAUAUAACUUGUGAUAAAUACUAAUAUUAUAUACUAACAUUAAAAAAAAAGAAAACAAAAGAAUCAGAAAAUUUACUAAACAGAAUAUCCAUUAAAAAAAUAGGUUGUUGACUAUAAUUGGAGAAGGGAUUUAGGAAAAACCCACCUGUGCCACACUUGUACAGAAUUAAUAUCACUGAUGAUGAUGAUGAUAGAAAUAUUAUUUCACUAAAAACUCUUAGAAGGAAAUGAAAUAAAAAAAACAAAGAGUAAAUAACAAAGAGUAAAAAGAUUAGGAAAAAAAAAGAGUAAAAGAGCGGCUAGCAUUUCAAUGUUUUACUAGGAUGAAAAUACUUAGAGACCCUUCAUCUAUAAGUUCUAAUAAAAUUGAUCCAUCAACUUCAAAUGUUCAAAUCUUUUUUAUUUACUAUCAGAUAUUUCAUCUGAUUUGGGUCCGGAUUUGAAAACUAUUUCGGACUCUACCCAUUUAAAAGUUGGAUUCGGGUCGGGUCCAAAUCGGGUAUGGGUAUAAAAUAUCCAAGUCCAUAUCCGAAACUUUAAUAAGUAAUUUUUUUUAUCCGUAUACAAUUUAUUUUUUAUCGGGUCCGGAUAGAGUCCGGGUAGGGUCUGGAUCGGGUAUGGCAUAUCGAAUAUUUUUGACAGUCUUAAACAUUACUAUAUUUCGUUCAAUUUAUGAAAUUCAGUAAUUUUGACAAUAAAAUAAAAUCUAUUCCAAAAUUGCUCUUAACCAUAUUGGCAAACUUUUUUUUACUAUUUAUAAAUAAUAUUUUUUUAUUAUUUAAAUAAUUUAAUUUUUUAAAAUUUAAAAUUUGAACAAAAAUGUAAAUUUAAUAUUUUAAUUUAAAAUAUAAAUAUGAAAUUUAUAAAUUUAAAAUCUUAAAUUUAAAUAUAAAUCUAAAUUUAAAAUUUAAAAUUUAAAAUCUAAAUUUAAAAUUAAGAAUUUAAAAUACAAAUUUAAAUUUAAACUUAAAAUUUAAAAUUUUAGAUUUAAAUUUAAACUUUCAAAUUUUCAAUUUUAUAUUUUUAAACUUCAAAUUUAAAAUUUAAAUUUAAUUGUAAAUUUUUAAUUUUUAAAUUUUAAAUUUGAAGUUUAAAAUUUUAAAAUUUAAAAUUUAAAAUUUAAAAUUUAAAAGUUGACAAUUUAAAAUUUUAAAUUAAAAUUUUUAAAAUGACGUAUUGAAAGUGUUUCGAUAGUUGGAGGGGUAAAUUUGUAACGUUAUAUAACAUGCAAGAUUAGUUGCCUUCAGUAAAUCAAGAUAUACACACAAUUUCCCCUCAGUAAUAUUUUCGGUGUAAUCCUGCACUAUUUAUAAUGCUACAUUACUGACCAGAUUACAUACCGGAUAAACCAAACACGGUAAUCCUUGGCAGGAUUACUUGUAAUCCUGCCAGGAUAACCCGAACCAAAUGCACCACCCUUAGUCUACAGCAACAUCGUCGAAAGACUGUAAGCAACACUUUUAAGGACUUUCCUUUUAAAACUUUUCUUUUAAAAAUCAGUGUGAAAAAUUAGAAAAGAGAAAUGAUUGAUUAUAUUACACUAGAACCUUUCAAACAUUUGAAAA